CCGACCUUAGCUCAGUUGGUAGAGCGGAGGACUGUAGUUGAACGCAGAUAAUCCUUAGGUCGCUGGUUCGAAUCCGGCAGGUCGGA
This 86-nucleotide transfer RNA is filed under the name Ipomoea nil (Japanese morning glory). It matches the Rfam family "tRNA". From Rfam's summary of the family: Transfer RNA (tRNA) molecules are approximately 80 nucleotides in length. Their secondary structure includes four short double-helical elements and three loops (D, anti-codon, and T loops). The record is from Rfam by way of RNAcentral. Lineage: Eukaryota; Viridiplantae; Streptophyta; Magnoliopsida; Solanales; Convolvulaceae.